GCUGGGGAUGUAGCUCAGUUGGUAGAGUGCUUGCCUCACAUGCAAAAGGCCCUGGGUUCAAUCACCAGCCCCAGGG
RNAcentral lists this transfer RNA (76 nucleotides) under Marmota monax (woodchuck). Its description in RNAcentral is "tRNA.Val". It matches the Rfam family "tRNA". Rfam says of the family: Transfer RNA (tRNA) molecules are approximately 80 nucleotides in length. Their secondary structure includes four short double-helical elements and three loops (D, anti-codon, and T loops). Lineage: Eukaryota; Metazoa; Chordata; Mammalia; Rodentia; Sciuridae. The record is from RNAcentral.